RNAcentral lists this transfer RNA (73 nucleotides) under Stegodyphus mimosarum. It matches the Rfam family "tRNA". From Rfam's summary of the family: Transfer RNA (tRNA) molecules are approximately 80 nucleotides in length. Their secondary structure includes four short double-helical elements and three loops (D, anti-codon, and T loops). The record is from Rfam by way of RNAcentral. Lineage: Eukaryota; Metazoa; Arthropoda; Arachnida; Araneae; Eresidae.
GCCUUGGUGGUGUAGUGGUCAGCACGCUCGACGUAUAACAAAGAGGUCCCUGGUUCGAUUCCCGGCGAAGGCG